AAGGAGAAGUCUGCGGGUAGCUGAAUGAAGUGGGUUUCAGAGCGCAGGGCAGACUCCGGGUGUCUUGGAGGCGGCAGCGAAGGCUCUGUCUGGGACUGCCAGGCGCGGGCGGGAAGCGGCCGGUUGUAGUCGGGCUUCCAGAAUCCGGAUGAGGCUCGACACUUUCCAACUAAACCUGUGCUAAGCAACACCCAAGGAUGUUGACCAUGAAUUCGAAGAAACCUAGCGUUUC
Molecule: unclassified non-coding RNA, 232 nt
Organism: Cricetulus griseus (Chinese hamster)
Lineage: Eukaryota; Metazoa; Chordata; Mammalia; Rodentia; Cricetidae
Product: predicted gene, 27308
Source: Ensembl